This 4204-nucleotide long non-coding RNA is filed under the name Sus scrofa (pig). RNAcentral describes it as "lncRNA (ENSSSCG00035054649.1)". The record is from RNAcentral. Lineage: Eukaryota; Metazoa; Chordata; Mammalia; Artiodactyla; Suidae.
CCAUGGUAUUUCUGUCUCCACUUCGCUGCUCAGUCGGGUGCGCACAAACAGCACAGUCUUUCCUGCCAUGGCCCUGCUCUCAAGGGUACUGCUUACCCCAGUGAGAAGUAAGGGGACCACAUUUAUUUAGCCUACUGGGUGUCAGAUAUCACACACAUGUAAUCUCAUUUAAUCACUUCAAUCAUCGUGUGAAGUAGGUGUUUUAUUCCCAUUUUACAGAUGAGGUAACUAAAGCUUAGCAGGGUUAAGCAACUUGCCCAACAGCACCCAGCUAGGAAGGCUUUUUGUCUUUUUUCUUUUAUUUUCCUGCGGCCUAUGGAGGUUCCCAGGCUAGGGGUUGAAUUAGAACUGUAGCCGCCGGCCUAUGCCACAGCCACACAGGAUCCGAGCCACAUCUGUGACCUACACCACAGCUCAUGGCAACACCGGAUCCUUAACCCACUGAGCAAGGCCAGGGAUCAGACUCGCAACCUCAUGGUUCCUAGUCAGAUUCAUUAACCACUGAGCCACGACGGGAACUCCUAGAAAGGCUUUUCGAGUCUUCAGAGAAAUGGACUGAUCUGGAUGCUCUGAGCAGCCUGCUGGUUUACACUGCUGCUCUCCCUGGGAAAUUGUGGGUGAGCAGUGACCCAGGCAACGAAGGAAUAAAAAUCACUACUGAGGACAUGUCAGAUUUCACUUGCCUCCUCAGGCAGGCACGCAGGAAAGAGCUUUGCCUGGGAAGGUCUAUUAUGGCGGUUCUCACAGUGAGGCAGGACUAGCCACCUAGCAUCUCCUCAGGAAAAUCAUGCUCUCUUUGGAAAUGCAAGUUUUUGAGAUUAAAAAAAUUUUUUUUUCAAGUCUGCUUCUCAUCUGUAAUUUUAUAGUGACCAUCCUAUUUCCCAGUUGGUGGUUGCAGCAAUUAAAGUGGCAGGAGGAUCAGCUAGGGGCAUCUUAAGGGGGAAAAGCUAGAGGAUUCUGCCUCCUCUUCUGAGUCAAGCAUGGGCUGAAAGGAACCCCAAGAGGGAGGAGAGGUGGCAGCAGCUGAAAUACAAAACCAUGCUCCCUCGGUCUGUAGGAGAAAAGUGACCCCCAGAGAGAGCCCAGGGUGGGUGAGUGGGUGGGGGGCCAGUUCUCCGCAGGAGGCCGUGUGUGUCCAUCUCUGCUCCAGGCCUGCAGGGCUGAGCGAAGAGCUGUGCUGAGCCCCGCAUCCGGUCGGAAGUACAAGCAAGUCUGGAGCUCCUGGCUCCGGGGAUGCUGCAGCUGUUCUGAGGAUCUGCACAAUUAGAAUUCUCCUAGCGCUCGGUGCCCGCAGGAAUCCAGUCACGUGGUGGACGUGGUGCCUGGAGCUGGGGUCAAUGAGAGCUCAGUCUGCAAGAAAAAGCAUUCCUUCCCUCUGAGACACAGCCUGCUUCACUGUGCACUGCUGGGCUUUUGCUCAUAGGAUGCCUCACCACCUGCGGGGAAAGGGCGCAGGCCAGGACCCAGGCCAGAUUGCUGCCCCCGCCCCACGCCCCGGAGCUCAUAGUAUUUCCGGGUUUGGGGGACUGAAGAUUUCCCUUUUCUCCGACUUCCUCCAGGUCUCUUGGUGGGAAUGCAUUUCCUAGAAAUUUGCUCACAUCUGUGUUGUAAAUCUCCUAGCUAUUCUCCCUCCAGGCCCCUCAGUCCUCUUCUGCCGAAUGAGAUGUUGGAUCCAAGAUCCUGCCCAUUUUGAGCCUCCUGGGCUCCAGCCUGUUCUUGUUACUGAUGAACCUCCCUCCACACCCAGGACCAACAGCUAUUUCCACAGGGCAUUUGAUGCCUCCCUGUUGUUUUCCAGUUUGUUCUGUGCUGCUGCUUUUUUGUCCUUCCUAAGAAAACCCCCUCAUUCCUGUCAAAGACCUGUCAGAAAUCACUGCUCUCCUGUGUAAUAGGCACUAAUGUCCUAUCAGAAAUCCAUGAGCUUCUAGCAGCAAUCACUGUUUUCCUGUUAGAAAUCACUGUUGUGUCAAGAAUCACCCUCUCCUUUUAAAAACCACUGUUCUGAGAAGAAUCACCACCACUCUUUAGAAAGCCUUGUUCUCUUGUCAGAAAUCCACUAAUACCCUGUCAGAAGUCAACAUUUUCUGUCGGAAAUCCCUGUUUUCCUGUUAUAAACCAUUGCUUGCCUGUCAAAAAUCCCUGCUCUCCUGUCAGAAAUCCUGCUUUCCUGACAGAGAUCCCUGUUUCUUGUCAGAAGUCAUUACUUUCCUACUGGAAGUUGCUGCUCCUUGCCUGAUUCUUCUCUCCACAGGAUGUUCAGAGUUGUCUGUCAUGCUUUGACAUUGAUAGCUUUCCUGUAGCUUCUGUCCUGCCGGCUGUUCACACCUGUUUCGCUGCAUCUCUUUAAGCUCAGUGCCGGGUCUGGAAGCAGCCUGAGCCAAUGGGCACUGCACUGGGGCAUCCACAGUCUCGUGUGCCCCUCCUGACUGAUUACAGACAAGUCAUUUUUUGCUUGCUGGACCUUUUCCUCAUCCCUUUGUUAGGGAUAAUAUCACUCUGUCUGCUUCACAAGGUUAUUUAAUUUAAAUCAGUGACUGUUCUGACUUUUUUAUUUUUGGCCACAGCGUACAGCAGCUUAAUGUGGGAUCUCAGUUCCCAGACCAGAGAUUGAACUCGGGCCACAUUGGUGAAAGCACCAAAUCCUAACCACUAGACCACCAGGAAACUCCCCAGUUUUGAUUCUGAGAGAGCUCCCAAUGUCUCUCUUCCUAUAAUUUGCACUCACAGAGCAAGUCUAAUACUUCUCUGCUACAGGCUUUCAAAUCACCCCUAAAUCUCCUCUAACACAGUGGCUUCUUGUUCGCUCACAGCCAGAUUAAACGUUCUCAGUUCCCUGCAUGAUGUGAUUUCCAGACCUGUUGCCAGCCUGGCCACAUAAAAUCCCUCCCCCCACCCCAAGAUAUACUCUAGUUUGUUUGGGUUUCCCUAAAAGUGCGGUCUGAGCAACCAAGAGGAAGCAGGAUUAUCACCUCCCUCCUUCUAAAGCAGAAUAUUCUUGAGGCCCAAGAUUGCAUUAGCUUUUGUACCAUUUACCAAAUAGAAACUUCCCAGCCAAAAGCUCUAUUUAUUCAAUGUCUUUUUUUUUUUUUUUCCCUAUUAGAGUGUUUUAAUUUUCUCUGAAUAGAUUUUUGCAUGUACUUUUAGGUUAGAUCCAAAAUACUUUAAUGUUUUCGACUCUUCAGGGAAGAAAGUGCUCUUUUCUCCAUUGCAUUUCUUUCGAGUCUUCAUCCCUGGAAUCUGGAAAGGGUAUUGAUUUAAUUUUACUCUUACAAUCUGCAAUAUUCCUGAACAGAUUUGUCAUUUCUACUAAUAUUCCUAGAAUACAAUGUGUCUUUCUUGGAAGGCUUACCCAUUCUGUCUUACAGUGGGGAAAGCUUUAUUUAUGGCAAGACAUAGCAAUACUCCAAGCUGUAGCAUUUUUUCACUCAAAACAGGUGACAACACUCUCUUCAGCAGGAGUUUGCUGGCUGUACCUAAAAGAGUACACCAGAGUGCAAGGAAAUGAGGAUGGCAUUAUUAGACCAGUACUUUUUAAUUAAUUCUGAUUUCUGUUUUUAAAAGUAAAUUAUUCAAUAACUUUGAUAAUUCAAUCACUAAUAGCAACAAAUUGCUUAAUAAUUAAUUUAUAAAUAAAUAAAUAAUUUAUAACUGAGCAAUGAUCCCAGCAAAGUUGAGAUGAUUAUUAAAAUAGGCUUUUCCCAUUUCCUAUUCUGGCUCAGCAGAAAUGAAUCUGACUAGUAUCCCUGAGGACGCAGGUUCAAUCCCUGGCCUCACUCAGUGGGUUAAGGAUCUGGCAUUGCCAUGAGCUGUGGUGUAGGUCAAAGAUGAGGCUCAGAUCUGGUGUUGGUGUGGCUGUGCUAUAGGCCAGCGCCUAUAGCUCUGAUUCGACCCCUAGUCUGGGAACUUCCAUAUGCCUCAGGUGCGGCCCUAAAAAGACUAAAAAUAAAAUAGGCUUUUCGCCAAACUGCACACUUUUAAAAUGGUGAAUUUAAAAGUAUGUGGAGUUCCCUUGCAGCACAAUGAGUUAAGAAUCUGGCAUUGUUACUGCAGUGGCUUGGGUUGCUGCUGUGGUGUGGUUCCCUGGCCAGGGAACCUCCACGUGCUAUGAGCAUGGCCAAAAAAAAAAAAAGAAAAGGUAUGUGAAGUGAAUAUCUCCCCCUCUACUCCUCCCCUCCCCUCCAAAAAAAAAAAAAAAAAAAAAAAA